Gymnogyps californianus (California condor) is the source of this 822-nucleotide long non-coding RNA. RefSeq lists it as uncharacterized. The transcript is spliced from 3 exons. The record is from RefSeq and is a predicted model, not a curated record. Lineage: Eukaryota; Metazoa; Chordata; Aves; Accipitriformes; Cathartidae.
GAGAUGUUUAUGUGCAGACCUGGAAAUUGCCUGGUCAGUUCAAUACUGACAAGCCAAAAUAGGGAAGAGUAAACUUAAUUAAAAAAAAAAAAAAGUUGUGCCUGUAGAAGAGAGAAAGCAAGAGCUUCCUCUUCCAAGUGUAUAUAUACUCUAUGGGCUGUUGUUGUAUAGACAGGGAACAUCCUCUCUACAUCCAGAGUGGUGUGCUCUCUUCAGAGUUUUCUUCUUUGGUCUUCCUGACUUUGAAAGGAUGCACAUUUUGUUUUGCUGGAGUGCUAGCCUGCGUUAUGAGCACAGGACUGAGGAUGCAGCUGCAUUCUAGUAAGAAGGUCAUGUUUUCCACCUUUGCCUCUGAUAGCAGUCUUUGACACAAAUACUUCUGCCUGUGCUACUGCUGAGCCUUGUCGUGUUUCAGAGGGAGACCACUUGUUCUGCACGGCGAUGGAAGGCAUUCAGCUCGCGGUGCAAGGGAAGGGUACUUUCUCAGCUGAGGUCGAGAUGGAGAAACUGAAUUAUGGGGAAGUGAAUUGAUGAGCCCAGACUUCCAGCAUAUUCACCACAAGGCCUUCCAGUUAUCAUGGACCUCUUGGCACAACACAGAUCCCUGCAGUUAUCAGGCAUAUUAUUUAUUGUUUAUCCUUUUUUCUCACAAAAAGAAGCUACUUGCCAGAGUUGCUGACAAGGAAUUCUUUCACUUUGGGGGCAAAAUGUGUUUAGUAGUUAUUAUGACAAGCCAUGAUUCAUACCUUUUGGACCUCAGUCGUAUUUUGCAUGGCAUGAGAAUAAAGCAAAUUACAUUCUGGAGAGCUUUGCCAAUGAAAU